Molecule: non-coding RNA, 111 nt
Filed under: Brevibacterium casei
Lineage: Bacteria; Bacillati; Actinomycetota; Actinomycetes; Micrococcales; Brevibacteriaceae
Also listed under: 1 other name
Description: TPP sequence
Rfam family: TPP riboswitch aptamer (THI element)
About the family: Vitamin B(1) in its active form thiamin pyrophosphate (TPP) is an essential coenzyme that is synthesised by coupling of pyrimidine and thiazole moieties in bacteria. The previously detected thiamin-regulatory element, thi box was extended, resulting in a new, highly conserved RNA secondary structure, the THI element, which is widely distributed in eubacteria and also occurs in some archaea.
Source: RNAcentral
GUGUGACCCCACGGGGGCCUCCGGCAGGAGGCUGAGAUCGGGCUAGGGCCGCUCGAGACCGUUGAACCUGAUCCGGUUGAUACCGGCGGAGGAAGAGAGGAUCGCAGAUGA